Molecule: ribosomal RNA, 306 nt
Filed under: uncultured Pseudomonas sp.
Lineage: Bacteria; Pseudomonadati; Pseudomonadota; Gammaproteobacteria; Pseudomonadales; Pseudomonadaceae
Description: bacterial SSU rRNA
Rfam family: Bacterial small subunit ribosomal RNA
Source: RNAcentral
UUGGGUUAAGUCCGUAACGAGCGCAACCCUUGUCCUUAGUUACCAGCACGUUAUGGUGGGCACUCUAAGGAGACUGCCGGUGACAACCGGAGGAAGGUGGGGAUGACGUCAAGUCAUCAUGGCCCUUACGGCCUGGGCUACACACGUGCUACAAUGGUCGGUACAAAGGGUUGCCAAGCCGCGAGGUGGAGCUAAUCCCAUAAAACCGAUCGUAGUCCGGAUCGCAGUCUGCAACUCGACUGCGUGAAGUCGGAAUCGCUAGUAAUCGUGAAUCAGAAUGUCACGGUGAAUACGUUCCCGGGCCUU